AUGUGGGCCAUUGUUUAGUAACGGGUUCGAUGUCAUGAGGUGAGACGCCUCUGUCAUGGCGUAAGCCUCGAGCACUGGUGCGUCAAAUGCCGCCUCUAGCCGUUCUAAUAUACUCGGUGCCAAUGAUGCACUGCAGCUUCUAAUGAACCUUAGCUUGGGGUACCGUGGACGUUCGGGAUUGCUCUCAUGGCGGUCCAAUAUGAUCUGGUGUAUCGUGGGGACAGCAGUGUACCAUGUGGCUUUGUAUUUAAUCAUGUCCGUCCAAAAUGUCGAUGCAGAAAAUCUGCCGGCGGCCGGGAGAGUGACGGCAGCUCCGGAAACGAGUGAACUCAGUAAGCCAGCUAACAAGCCAUGCACGUGAAAUAACGGGAGCACAAUGACCGUCGAGUCUGACUCAGUGAGUUCGUAAACCGAUUUAAUGUUCAAAACUGAAGUCCCCAAAUUGAGCUGAGUCAAAGGAACACCCUUGGGACGACUGGUGGUACCGGAAGUGUGAAGGAAAAGAGAGACGUCGGCAGGGUCGUUAACGAGUUGUUUGACUGAAUCAAUAUUUGACUCGGGGUUGGAGGAGAGAGUUAUUUUGGAAUUUUCAUC
RNAcentral lists this long non-coding RNA (594 nucleotides) under Gossypium barbadense (sea-island cotton). Its description in RNAcentral is "long non-coding RNA (GBAR_LNC018801)". Lineage: Eukaryota; Viridiplantae; Streptophyta; Magnoliopsida; Malvales; Malvaceae. The record is from RNAcentral.